GGGGUACCAGUACAGAGUCAAUGUGGAGGCUAUAUACAGGGUAUUACGGUACAGAGUCAACGUGGAGGCUAUAUACAGGGGGAACCGGUACAGAGUCAAUGUGGAGGCUAUAUACAGGGUAUUACGGUACAGAGUCAACGUGGAGGCUAUAUACAGGGGGUACCGGUACAGAGUCAAUGUGGAGGCUAUAUACAGGGUAUUACGGUACAGAGUCAAUGUGGAGGCUAUAUACAGGGGGUACCGGUACAGAGUCAAUGUGGAGGCUAUAUACAGGGGGUACCGGUACAGAGUCAAUGUGGAGACUAUAUACAGGGGGAACCGGUACAGAGUCAAUGUGGAGGCUAUAUACAGGGGGUACCGGCACAGAGUCAAUGUGGAGGCUAUAUACAGGGGGUACCGGUACAGAGUCAAUGUGGAGGCUAUAUACAGGGGGUACCAGUACAGUCAAUGUGGAGGCUAUAUACAGGGGGUACCGGUACAGAGUCAAUGUGGAGGCUAUAUACAGGGGGAACCGGUACAGAGUCAAUGUGGAGGCUAUAUACAGGGGGUACCGGUACAGAGUCAAUGUGGAGGCUAUAUACAGGGGGAACCGGUACAGAGUCGAUGUAAGGCUAUAUACAGGGGGUACCGGUACAGAGUCAAUGUGGAGGCUAUAUACAGGGGGUACCAGUACAGUCAAUGUGGAGGCUAUAUACAGGGGGUACCGGUACAGAGUCAAUGUGGAGGCUAUAUAGAGGGGGGAACCGGUACAGAGUCAAUGUGGAGGCUAUAUACAGGGGGUACCGGUACAGAGUCAAUGUGGAGGCUAUAUACAGGGGGUACCGGUACAGAGUCAAUGUAGAGGCUAUAUACAGGGGGUACCGGUACAGAGUCAAUGUGGAGGCUAUAUAGAGGGUAUUACGGUACAGAGUCAAUGUGGAGACUAUAUACAUGGUAUUACGGUACAGAGUCAAUGUGGAGGCUAUAUACAGGGCAUUACGGUACAGAGUCAAUGUGGAGGCUAUAUACAGGGGGUACCUCCUCCACCAAUACUACCCUCCUCCUCCACCC
Long non-coding RNA from Oncorhynchus tshawytscha (Chinook salmon), 1050 nucleotides. Lineage: Eukaryota; Metazoa; Chordata; Actinopteri; Salmoniformes; Salmonidae. The record is from Ensembl.